This 2022-nucleotide long non-coding RNA is filed under the name Homo sapiens (human). RNAcentral's name for it is "HSALNT0159454". Lineage: Eukaryota; Metazoa; Chordata; Mammalia; Primates; Hominidae. The record is from RNAcentral.
AAGCAAAUGUCACCCACGUUUGAUUGACAUCUGUUGCUCCUGAAUGCAAAGGUGGAGUGAAGCUGACAGUACAGUAGAUUUGGAGAGUAAUACAAAUCCUUUCUUUCUGGUUAGAACACACUGCCAAAAGCCAUCUCUUUCAUCUAAGGAAAAGAUUAAAAAUGCAUGUUGAUAUCUCCUAACUAUCACACAACUUCCACUAUUACAAUGAAAAAUCUGUUCCCCUUUCAUUGCCUCUGAAAACUCUUUGACGAGUAGAUUUCAAAAACAGAGAUUUUAAAAAUUUGCUUGCUUUACUGGUGAAGGACAUUUGCAUUUUUUUUUUUUAUUUAUUUAAAGGAAUUAGUUUGUUCUCCUGGCUCAUUCCUCUUUGUUACUUUCUGUUCCAAUACACAGAAAGCUUGAUCAUCUUUGAUCAGCAGAAAUAUCUUUUAUUUAGCAAAGCUCAACUUCCCAAGAGUUAUGCAUGGUGUGCCUAUCUGAAGGUGGUGUUAGCUCUGUUGAAAUGCCUGGGUCUGAGUAACUGUCAUGAUUUUUAUGAUUAAAAACAGACUCUUCAUCAAGAAUAAUGACUAAUUCUAAUUGGUCUUUGUGAUAUGUAAGAUAACUCAUAAAUGAAUUGCAAUGGAUUUUAUUUCGAAUUAACUAUAUAUUUAUCAAAGAGGAACUGGCAGCAAGGGUUUGGAGAAUAUUUUUAGGUACCAAAUAGCAUAGUGAGGAUUCAACCAAAAGAUGAAUUUAUAAGCAGCAGUGCCCAUCACCUAAGUGUUUUAACUAACAGGUUUUAAAAACAUUUUAUUUACACAAAAUAUCAGGGCUGGAUACCUUUUAAAGAGGAGGCUCAAGUAUCGGGCUGUCAUUUCCAAUAGAUCUGACCUUUUCUUCAGAUACAUAAGCAUUAUUUUCUCUGUUUAGGUCCAAGGAAAAACAAAAGGUAAAGGAAAUAAAGGGAAUAUACAUAAGGCAAACAUUUCUCUUUUUUUUUUUGCAUUAUAUCUUACCAAUUAAUUAAAUUGUGGCCUUUGUUAUUAUAAAUGUAAUGAUUCAUUAAACUAUAUUAUGUAAUAUAUUUUGACUUUUAUGAUUGAAUUUUUAUAAUUCAGUAGUGUUAUGUGUUCUUAUACAAACUUUGCAAAACAGCAAAAUGUAUGGCAAAAAUAGAUACCGGAAAGCCAAAGAUAUCAAAAUCAUUUCAGUAGAAGAAUAUAUAGAUAGGUGGACAGUAUAAAAUUAACCUUUCAAAAUAUUUUUAUCAUUGUGAAUUGGUAAUUGUAUUACAGUCAGUAUCCUUUGGGGAAAAAAGUCUCAAAAUUUAACUUCCCUUGUUGCAGAAGCUAUUUUACAGUGCCAUAUUAUUCAUUAAGCAUUAAUUAAAGAACAGCAGGAUAAUUAGUAGGAUCAUCAAUAUUACAAGAAACAUUAGAUCGCUCAAGAAGGAAAUAAUUUAACUAGAAACACUUUAAAUUUUCUCAAGUAGUGCAGCUGAUAGAUUAGGGAGAAAAACAACAACUCCGCUUAGGGGAUAUAGACUUUAAAUCAUUGUUUAGAAAUAGGUACUUCUGUAUUUAUUUUGUUAAGUUAAAAUAAUAGGGCUCAAUUAGGCUGAGUAACUCCCUAGAGGCACAGUUGUAAUAGCUGGUCUCAGAGAAGGCAAACCCUCCUAGUUCUCAUCAGAAGGAAAUGAUCUGUCAUUAGUCCUAGGUAACUGAUUAAUAUCUCACAGUGGACUGGAAAUCGCUGAAUGUUCUCUGCAAGUUUUAUACUCAAGGUGUGAAUUCAUAAGCAACCAUCCUAUUUGAAAGUUAGCCAUUGCUUAGGGUUCUCUAUUAGAAUCUUAUCAAGCACAUUCUCAGUUAUGCCUCUCAGCAACAUUUUAGGAACAACAUUGGUGAGUAUAUGAGAAUAGCCGUGACCUCCAUAUUUCAUCAGCCGGGUUUUCGUAUGUAUGUCAUGUGCUACCAGAAUUCGAUCUUCACAGCCCUCUUCCACCAGGAGACGCACCCUGUGAAAAAUGUUAACUCA